UACGGAAGGCAGCAGUGGGGAAUAUUGCACAAUGGGCGCAAGCCUGAUGCAGCCAUGCCGCGUGUAUGAAGAAGGCCUUCGGGUUGUAAAGUACUUUCAGCGGGGAGGAAGGCGAUGCGGUUAAUAACCGCGUCGAUUGACGUUACCCGCAGAAGAAGCACCGGCUAACUCCGUGCCAGCAGCCGCGGUAAUACGGAGGGUGCAAGCGUUAAUCGGAAUUACUGGGCGUAAAGCGCACGCAGGCGGUCUGUUUAAGUCAGAUGUGAAAUCCCCCGGGCUUAACCUGGGAACUGCAUUUUGAAACUGGCAGGCUUGAGUCUUGUAGAGGGGGUAGAAUUCCAGGUGUAGCGGUGAAAUGCGUAGAGAUCUGGAGGAAUACCGGUGGCGAAGGCGGCCCCUGGGACAAAGACUGACGCUCAGGUGCGAAAGCGUGGGGAGCAAACAGGAUUAGAUACC
This 456-nucleotide ribosomal RNA is filed under the name uncultured bacterium. RNAcentral describes it as "bacterial SSU rRNA". It matches the Rfam family "Bacterial small subunit ribosomal RNA", at positions 340 to 786 of the family's 1533-position model. The record is from RNAcentral.